RNAcentral lists this ribosomal RNA (613 nucleotides) under fungal endophyte. RNAcentral's name for it is "eukaryotic LSU rRNA". The stretch from base 175 to 328 matches the Rfam family "5.8S ribosomal RNA". The record is from RNAcentral. Lineage: Eukaryota; Fungi.
GAGUUCUAUAACUCCCAAACCCAUGUGAACAUACCUAACGUUGCCUCGGCAGGUCGCACCUACCUUGUAGCACCCUACCCUGUAGGGCCUACCCGGGAGGUGCGGGUAAGCCUGCCGGCGGCCCACCAAACUCUGUUUGAUAUUGAAUUCUGAACCUAUAACUAAAUAAGUUAAAACUUUCAACAACGGAUCUCUUGGUUCUGGCAUCGAUGAAGAACGCAGCGAAAUGCGAUAAGUAAUGUGAAUUGCAGAAUUCAGUGAAUCAUCGAAUCUUUGAACGCAUAUUGCGCCCAUUAGUAUUCUAGUGGGCAGGACCGUUCGAGCGUCAUUUCAACCCUUAAGCCUUCGUUGCUUAGUGUUGGGAGCCUACGGCAACGUAGCUCCUCAAAGUUAGUGGCGGAGUUGGUUCACACUCUAGACGUAGUAAUUUUUUAUCUCGCCUAUUAGUUGGACUAAUCCCCUGCCGUAAAACCCCCAAUUUAUCAAGGUUGACCUCGAAUCGGUUCAGACAAACUCGCUAAAUUGAAGCAUCUUAGUCAGCGAAGGAAAAGAAACCAACAGGGAUUGCCCUAGUAACGGCGAGUGAAGCGGCAACAGCUCAAAUUUGAAAUCU